UGCCAGACUCCUACGGGAGGCAGCAGUGGGGAAUAUUGCACAAUGGGGGAAACCCUGAUGCAGCAACGCCGCGUGAGUGAAGAAAUCAUUCGUGAUGUAAAGCUCUAUCAGCAGGGAAGAAAAUGACGGUACCUGAAGAAGAAGCCCCGGCUAACUACGUGCCAGCAGCCGCGGUAAUACGUAGGGGGCAAGCGUUAUCCGGAUUUACUGGGUGUAAAGGGGGCGCAGACGGCGAUGCAAGCCAGGAGUGAAAGCCCGGGGCCCAACCCCGGGACUGCUCUUGGAACUGCGUGGCUGGAGUGCAGGAGGGGCAGGCGGAAUUCCUGGUGUAGCGGUGAAAUGCGUAGAUAUCAGGAGGAACACCGGUGGCGAAGGCGGCCUGCUGGACUGCAACUGACGUUGAGGCCCGAAAGCGUGGGGAGCAACCAGGAUUAGAUACCCGUGUACG
Molecule: ribosomal RNA, 448 nt
Filed under: uncultured bacterium
Lineage: Bacteria
Description: bacterial SSU rRNA
Rfam family: Bacterial small subunit ribosomal RNA
Source: RNAcentral